UACAGAGGUGGCAAGCGUUGUUCGGAAUUACUGGGCGUAAAGGGCGCGUAGGCGGUCUUUUAAGUCUUGUGUGAAAUCCCUCGGCUCAACUGAGGAACUGCACGGGAUACUGGAAGACUUGAGUUCGGGAGAGGGAAGCGGAAUUCCGGGUGUAGCGGUGAAAUGCGUAGAUAUCCGGAGGAACACCGGUGGCGAAGGCGGCUUCCUGGACCGAUUACUGACGCUGAGGAGCGAAAGCGUGGGGAGCGAACAGG
This 254-nucleotide ribosomal RNA is filed under the name uncultured bacterium. Its description in RNAcentral is "partial 16S ribosomal RNA". It matches the Rfam family "Bacterial small subunit ribosomal RNA", at positions 524 to 776 of the family's 1533-position model. The record is from RNAcentral.